Molecule: ribosomal RNA, 253 nt
Filed under: uncultured bacterium
Lineage: Bacteria
Description: partial 16S ribosomal RNA
Rfam family: Bacterial small subunit ribosomal RNA
Source: RNAcentral
UACGUAGGUGGCAGGCGUUGUCCGGAAUUAUUGGGCGUAAAGGGCGUGUAGGUGGGUUACUAAGUCGUGUGUCUAAGUGCGAAGCUCAACUUCGUAUAGGCGCAGGAAACUGGUAAUCUUGAGUGCAGGAGAGGAAAGUGGAAUUCCCAGUGUAGCGGUGAAAUGCGUAGAUAUUGGGAGGAACACCAGUGGCGAAGGCGACUUUCUGGACUGUGUCUGACACUGAGGCGCGAAAGCCAGGGGAGCGAACGGG